This 253-nucleotide ribosomal RNA is filed under the name uncultured bacterium. Its description in RNAcentral is "partial 16S ribosomal RNA". It matches the Rfam family "Bacterial small subunit ribosomal RNA", at positions 524 to 776 of the family's 1533-position model. The record is from RNAcentral.
UAUGGAGGGUCCAAGCGUUAUCCGGAAUCAUUGGGUUUAAAGGGUCCGUAGGCGGUUUUGUAAGUCAGUGGUGAAAGCCCAUCGCUCAACGGUGGAACGGCCAUUGAUACUGCAAGACUUGAAUUAUUGGGAAGUAACUAGAAUAUGUAGUGUAGCGGUGAAAUGCUUAGAGAUUACAUGGAAUACCAAUUGCGAAGGCAGGUUACUACUAAUGGAUUGACGCUGAUGGACGAAAGCGUGGGUAGCGAACAGG